Molecule: ribosomal RNA, 497 nt
Filed under: uncultured bacterium
Lineage: Bacteria
Description: partial 16S ribosomal RNA
Rfam family: Bacterial small subunit ribosomal RNA
Source: RNAcentral
GAUGAACGCUGGCGGCGUGCCUAAUACAUGCAAGUCGAGCGAACAGACGAGGAGCCUGCUCCUCUGACGUUAGCGGCGGACGUGUGAGUAACACGUGGAUAACCUACCUAUAAGACUGGGAUAACUUCGGGAAACCGGAGCUAAUACCGGAUAAUAUAUUGAACCGCAGGGUUCAAGAGUGAAAGACGGUUUUGCUGUCACUUAUAGAUUGAUCCGCGCCGCAUUAGCUAGUUGGUAAGGUAACGGCUUACCAAGGCGACGAUGCGUAGCCGAUCUGAGAGGGUGAUCAGCCACACUGGAACUGAGACACGGUCCAGACUCCUACGGGAGGCAGCAGUAGGGAAUCUUCCGCAAUGGGCGAAAGCUUGACGGAGCAACGCCGCGUGAGUGAUGAAGGUCUUCGGAUCGUAAAACUCUGUUAUUCGGGAAGAACAAAUGUGUAAGUAACUAUGCACGUCUUGACGGUACCUAAUCAGAAAGCCACGGCUAACUACGUG